RNAcentral lists this ribosomal RNA (899 nucleotides) under uncultured archaeon. RNAcentral describes it as "bacterial SSU rRNA". It matches the Rfam family "Archaeal small subunit ribosomal RNA", at positions 1 to 878 of the family's 1478-position model. The record is from RNAcentral.
CUCCGGUUGAUCCCGCCGGACCCGACUGCUAUCGGAUUGAGAUUUAGCCAUGCGAGUCGAACGUUCCCCUGUUGCGGGGAGCGUGGCGUACGGCUCAGUAACACGUAGUCAACCUGCCCUGGAGACAAGGACAACCCCGGGAAACUGGGAUUAAUCCUUGAUAGGUCAUCUCAUCUGGAAGGAGAGAUGGCUUAAAGGGGUACGCGGGCUUCUUCCGCGAAUUCGCUCCAGGAUGGGACUGCGUCCGAUCAGGCUGUUGGCGGGGUAAUGGCCCACCAAACCUGUAACCGGUACGGGCCUUGAGAGAGGUGGCCCGGAGAUGGACACUGAGAGAAGGGUCCAGGUCCUACGGGGCGCAGCAGGCGCGAAACCUUCGCAAUGCGCGAAAGCGUGACGAGGUUAAUCCGAGUGACUCCCGCUGAGGGGGUCUUUUGUCAGCUGUAAAUAGGCAGGCGAAUAAGGGGAGGGCAAGCCUGGUGUCAGCCGCCGCGGUAAUACCAGCUCCUCGAGUGGUCGGGGCGAUUAUUGGGCCUAAAGCAUCCGUAGCCGGUUCCGUAGGUCCUCUGUUAAAUCCAACCGCUCAACGGUUGACCUGCAGAGGAUACCGCGGGACUAGGAGGCGGGAGAGGCGGACGGUACUCCGCGUGUAGGGGUAAAAUCCUUUGAUCCGCGGAAGACCACCAGUGGCGAAGGCGGUCCGCCAGAACGCGCUCGACGGUGAGGGAUGAAAGCUGGGGGAGCGAACCGGAUUAGAUACCCGGGUAGUCCCAGCCGUAAACGAUGCUAGCUAGAUGAUUCAUUCGCAAGUCGCGAAUGAAGUGUCGCAGGGAAGCCGUUAAGCUAGCCGCCUGGGGAGUACGGUCGCAAGACUGAAACUUAAAGGAAUUGGCGGGGGAAGC